RNAcentral lists this ribosomal RNA (263 nucleotides) under Salmonella enterica. RNAcentral's name for it is "partial 16S ribosomal RNA". It matches the Rfam family "Bacterial small subunit ribosomal RNA", at positions 1 to 260 of the family's 1533-position model. The record is from RNAcentral. Lineage: Bacteria; Pseudomonadati; Pseudomonadota; Gammaproteobacteria; Enterobacterales; Enterobacteriaceae.
AAAUUGAAGAGUUUGAUCAUGGCUCAGAUUGAACGCUGGCGGCAGGCCUAACACAUGCAAGUCGAACGGUAACAGGAAGCAGCUUGCUGCUUCGCUGACGAGUGGCGGACAGGUGAGUAAUGUCUGGGAAACUGCCUGAUGGAGGGGGAUAACUACUGGAAACGGUGGCUAAUACCGCAUAACGUCGCAAGACCAAAGAGGGGGACCUUCGGGCCUCUUGCCAUCAGAUGUGCCCAGAUGGGAUUAGCUUGUUGGUGAGGUAA